This 77-nucleotide transfer RNA is filed under the name Candidatus Babelota bacterium. Its description in RNAcentral is "Candidatus Dependentiae bacterium tRNA-Met". It matches the Rfam family "tRNA". Rfam says of the family: Transfer RNA (tRNA) molecules are approximately 80 nucleotides in length. Their secondary structure includes four short double-helical elements and three loops (D, anti-codon, and T loops). The record is from RNAcentral.
GGGCCCAUAGCUCAGCUGGUUAGAGCAGUCGGCUCAUAACCGRAAGGUCCCUGGUUCAAGUCCAGGUGGGCCCACCA